AUUGGAGAAGACAUGAAAAGACAUUGUUUUUAAAUUAAAAUUGGAAGUGAAAACACCUUAGCUGCAGCUGAAACUGUGUUGCAUAUUACAAACCUCUCCCUAUUAUUGGAUCUAGGAGCCUAGAGUGUUUACAUUCAGCCCAUUUGGAGAGAAAAAGAAAAGGACAGAAUGAGGAGGUAAUUUGGCUAAAUCCAAUUAGUGCUGUAUUCUACUUCAUUAUUACAUCAGUGUCCCCACAGAAUCAAAGAAGGAAGAGAAAGAAAAAGCCUUAACUCUGUCAACUCUAGGAGACUGAAUUUUGAUUGGAAGAAAGUUUUAACAGCAAUCUCUACCUGACAGCAUUUUGGGAGUGUAACCACCUGACAUACUUGUAACAUACUUUGUGUCCCACACACAACACAAAUGGGAGUUCAUGCUACUGUUUUAACUGUUCUGAGCAAGUCCAAGCAUCACCAUAUGCCCCUGCACUGGGUCAUUCUAUAGUGCUGGUGAAGACAGGACGUGCUGGUGUUGCAGUUAUAGCAGCAGCGGAGCAACUGCGUAACUUUUUAGUGGCUCUUCUGGUCAAAUUUCUGAACUCUGUGGCCACUUGACCCUAGGGUUCAAGUCUUCUAGAAGUCCCUCAUUGAACACAGUGGCAUGUACAUACCUCUAGUCCCAUAUCCCGCACUUUUAAAGUCAGACUCUUCUUCAAGAUCACUGUGUUCCAGUACUCAGUUUGCUUUUGGAUCUGGGAUAAUUUCUUCUCAGAAGCUAUCCUACAGUUGUGCUAGCAGCUGACCCAAGGUAGAUCCCAGGACACUCAUUCAGAUCUUGAACAAUGGUUGGAUCCACUCCCAGGUAACCCAGACUAUUCAACACACCAUUGCUUUUGACAGGUGAAUUCGUAUCUGGCCCAGCAGUACAAAGAGAAAAUUAAGGGCUUGAAGGUGCAUCAAAACAAGGCUGGUAGCUGCACCUUCAUAUGUUUGAACAGAUGCUAGUUCCUGGAUGUCUAUGGAGACUGAAAUGAUCCUUGACAACACUAAAGCUCAAAGAGGAAGGAGAGGGCACCUAUAUGUCACAGGAGGUAUCAGAGGCAUUUUCUGGACCGUUGCGAGAUGGGGAGCCAUCUACACAAGUGUCACCAGAACGUGAGAACAGGCAUUUGCAUGGCACUUUUGUAGCUGGUAUUGCAAGCAAUCUUGGAUGAUGACCCAGCACAUGUUCAUUUUAAGAACACUUUCACUGCAGAUUUGACAAAAGGCAAAGAAGGUACCUACCAAUGUGAGAUUUCUAAAGAUAGUUUCAGCACUUGAUCCAAGGUUUAAGAAUCUGAAGUACCUUCCGAAAUCUGAGAGGGACAAGGUGUGGAGCAUGCUUUCAGAAGUCUUAAAAGAGCAACACUCCAGGGCCGAAAUUCACCAAAAAAGAAAAUCAAGCUUCUGC
Long non-coding RNA from Caretta caretta (loggerhead turtle), 1428 nucleotides. RefSeq lists it as uncharacterized. NCBI's taxonomy places the organism in Eukaryota, Metazoa, Chordata, Testudines, Cheloniidae. The record is from RefSeq and is a predicted model, not a curated record.